CUCGACUUGGCGGCUUGGCAUCUCGGCUUAGACGAGUCGUUUUUUACCCUUCUGAAGCCAUUUCUGACUUUAUUUAACCCAUUUCAGGAAAUAGUUAGGCGUUGAAAUUAUACUAUCGAGGUGACUACCUUAUUGUAAGUGACUUUGGCCAAGGCCAACUAAGUAAGUGACCUUACUGUUGGCGUUAGCUUAUAUGAUGUAUGAUGGUGCAUGCACUAUAUUAUAUGUGAUAUAUUUGUUUAUGAUUAUGUGAUGUUUAUGUAUUUGAUAACUCUAAAAGUAGAGUAAUAUCAUGUCUUUUUGUAUUUAAUAUGGCACCCUUAUUCACCAUUUUCUCAUUUAU
Molecule: long non-coding RNA, 343 nt
Organism: Cucurbita moschata (crookneck pumpkin)
Lineage: Eukaryota; Viridiplantae; Streptophyta; Magnoliopsida; Cucurbitales; Cucurbitaceae
Exons: 2
Source: RefSeq, a predicted model, not a curated record